AUGACUAGUUUGUGGAGUCUAAGUGAGGAAUAUCACGAGGAGGAAGACGUGGAUUAUGAAGCCGAUGGUGAUCAGGAGAAUAUUGCUACAAGUGCAAGAUCGGACCAGAUCGUUGUAGCUGCUCCCGUUCCUUGUCCGGCUGCCCCUGCUCGUACUGCCGCGGCACCUCGCACUCGCAGCAAGCGGGCAAGGUUGAAUCAACAGGCUCCAGCAGGAUGUAACGGACGGCGUGCAAGAACUAAUGAGCCAUCCGAUGGAGAUGAAGCGAAUCAGCAGCCACCGCCACCACCACCGCCACCACCCGGACCACAGGUUAAUCCUGCGCCAAAAUUAAGGUCAAAAGCAUGGGAUAACUUCACUUUGAUUGAACAACCUGAUCCUGAUCAAGUAUUUGCUCAGUGCAAAACUUGUAAAGCCAUACUUAGAGCAAGUUCGAAAAAUGGAACAUCUCAUUUGUUAAGGCAUACUGCUAAUGUGCAUCCAUCACAUGGAACAACUUUGGAGAGUUUGUUUGCUGAAUAUAGUGGUGCUGCUGUUAGUCAAACACCAUCACAUGGUGCUACAAACAGUAGGGGAAGUAGGGGAGAUGGUUCUGAUAUGUUCGAUGACUACGAGAGUUACAUUCAAUCUCAACGGACAAAUGUAGAGAGGUCUCAAUUGGAUCUUUAUUUGGAAGAAACUCCUAGAAAAUUGAAUGACGAGUUGAAUGUCUUGGAAUUUUGGAGCAAAUCAUCUGUGCGAUACCCUGAGCUUGCAUCAAUGGCUCGGGAUAUUCUUGCUGUCCCCAUUUCUAGUGUUGCUUCGGAACAAGCCUUUAGCAUGAGUCGCAAAGUUAUAACACCUAACCGAGCUUCACUUAAGCCUAAGACCAUCGAGGCUUUAAUGUGUCUCCAAGAUUGGUAUCGUUGGAAGAUGUCUCAGAGUGAAGAAAUGAGCACUACAGGAGGUGGACCUUCAAGUUCUCAUGCAAAUGAGUUAUCUUCAGAUUCGGAAAAUGAUGAAGUUGAGAUAGCUUGA
This 1017-nucleotide ribosomal RNA is filed under the name Triticum aestivum (bread wheat). RNAcentral's name for it is "partial small subunit ribosomal RNA". The record is from RNAcentral. Lineage: Eukaryota; Viridiplantae; Streptophyta; Magnoliopsida; Poales; Poaceae.